Molecule: long non-coding RNA, 615 nt
Organism: Rhododendron vialii
Lineage: Eukaryota; Viridiplantae; Streptophyta; Magnoliopsida; Ericales; Ericaceae
Exons: 2
Source: RefSeq, a predicted model, not a curated record
AAUGUGGUAAGGUUGUUAGUGGAGGGGAGUGAGUGUGAUUGGUGCUGGUGCUAGUAUAAAUAGGCGGGGUGGUGUUUAGAGAAGUAAAAAUCUUUUUUUUCUUUCUCUCUCUCUACUCUCCCGGCCGACUCUCUCCCACGCCUCUCACUCUCUUCCAAACUUCUCUCUUUGAUUUCAUCUUCAUAGAAGGAGAUUUUGAAAAAAAUCCAAGUAUUAAAGUUGUUCUACACGACAAGAUCUUCCUAUCGAUCCAAGAAGAAUCAUGAUCGGAGCACUUUGAGGUUUCCUCCAUGUUCGGGCUUGCUUCUAACCUUGGAGGUACUUGCCAUGACACUUAGCUUGGAUUGCAUGGAAUGCACAUUGAGACGUUCCUUGAGAGCUUCAUUGGAAUCAUUAAGGAGGUGUUUUAUCAUCUUGUCUAAUUCAUCUUGUAUACUUUACUCGCAAUUGAAGGUUGUAUCUUUUGGUUAGAACAUAUGUAAAGCUAUGUAUAAACUCAUCUAUUUGAUUAUUGUGAAGCCCUUUUAAUGGAAUACGUUUGAGAGACUGUGUAAAAAAAAAAAAUAAAAUAAAAUAAAAUUUAGAGAGAAGAAGAAGAAGAAGAGACUUUGAUUC